AUUUAAGGUAUUUGUGAAAAUAGUCAUUCAUUAAUGGUAAAUUUGAAAAGUGUUAUCAAACUUGUGGAAGAAUUGAAAUUUGCACAUUUUUAUUUAAGGAAAGAAUAAAGAAUAUUUUUUUUACGCUACUAAUAAAUUAAAUACUUAGUUUAAUAAAAAGUAUAAUAUAUAUUUAGUGAACCAACAUAAUUUUCUUAAAGAUUCUAAGAAUCAUCCUGGUGAUGACACGUAGGUACCACAAAUGUUGUGAUGAUGAAUCCAUUGAUUUUUAAUAAUAUGAGAUUUGUGUUAUUGUUACAUAUGGAAACGAGCUUCAUUUAUAAGAAAUUGAAUGGCUGAAAUUUAGAGACUUCAAACAAACAUUAUAUCAACAUAAUCUAAAAAUCAUAGAUUGAAUACAAACAAAAUUAUAAGAGUCGAAAAGACAACACUUUACUAAACAAAAAGAGCCAAACAUACAUUAUUAAUGGAUAAAAAAACGAAAACACAUUAUCAAAACAUAAAAAAAUAUACAUUAUUAAAAUUGAAAAAGAUGAACACACAUUAUUAAAACAAACAGACACACAUUAUUAAAGCAUAAAAACAAACACACAUUUUGAAUAUUGUGGGUCUACUAAUUUCCAAAUAGAUCGUGGGUCAACUUCUCCAACAAUUCUUUGCCCCGGUCAUCAAGUUGAUCUUUUUCACAUAACUUCAACAACAACUUCAUUUUUUUGUAAGAGUAUUUUAUUUCAUCAGUUGAUUUGUUUCCUCUUGCCUCAUAGCUAUUUUUUUCAAUCGUUCCAACUCUUUCUUCUUGAAUUGUUUGAAUUCAUUCCAUUCUUCGUUAACCGAUUCCAAAGCUGCACCUUUACUUUCUUUUUUUAAAAUUUUUUUCAUAGUGAAUCAUCUCCAUGCGAACCACCUUCCCAUCACAUCAGUAAUUUUUGCAUUUAUAAAAAAGAGGAGUGUGCUCCCAAACAAUACGAGGAUGUUCCAAAAAAAAAAACAAGAGGGGUGAUUAAUCCACUUUAUGGUUUGUAUUUUCGGUUUAAUCCUACUAUAUAAGAGAAGCUAAUUUGGGAUGUUCUAAGGGGUACCACAUAGGCAAAAUAAUCCCUACCUAUCAUACUGCCAUGUCAUCGCGGAUGUUUAACUGACGGGCCCCGAACCUUUCAAACCCGUCAAGAUAACAAUCCAUUUGCAAAGGUUUCUGUUUGUCUUUCCAACUCUGGGCUUAACAGCAAAAAUAUUCAUUCAAAAAAGCUCUAUAGUCUCUUGACUCUAACCUCAGCCGCUCGGGGUCGUUUAUCACAGCCAAUAUCCCCGUUAACACUUACUGCUACCAUUAAUUUCUUCCCCAAAGCAUAAAACCGUCAACUAUUUGGCUUCCCCUCACCAAUUCUAUAAAAGCCGGCAUAGUUAGAAAGCAUGAUCUCUCUAACAACAAGCUUCUGGUCAGAAAAGCUUAGGAAAUUCGCCACCUUUCUGACGCUCAGUUCAAUCAUCCAUCAUCGGCGUUGUAAGACAUCACCGGUAUUUGAUUUUAUAUAUACUCCAUUUCAUCUAUUUUAGUAUUGGAUUUGACAGGGUGAGAUCUGUAAAGAUGUGAUCUAUCUGAAAAUUGCAGCCUAUCAAACAUUCACAAUUGAAUCAGCUUCAGUUGUGGGUAUAUCUAAAGUAUAUUACUAUUACUUACACCCGUGUCUAUUCCAUGUUGUAGAUUAUUUUCAAAAUACAUGCAGCGAUUAAGUUGAGUCGUAUGUUCGAAAAGGCAUUCACGAGAUCAUUCAAUAGCCUGCAAAACAUUAUUGGAGUCCAGUGGGUUUCCUUCUUCAGUAUCAGUUUGUUUAGUUUGAACUUAGAAAAACAUUAUUCACGAGAUCAUUCACUUCAAUUACAAAUACUUUCAUGAAUCUGUUUGUUUAGUUGAUUAAAAAUGUGCAUUUCAGGAUUAAGCUUAAUAUAAAAGCACUAGCAGUUCAGAGUGGCCGAGGAAGAGUAAUCAAAUCCGAGCAAAACAUGUUAUCUUUGUUUUCAGUUUGACAUGUAUUUGACUGGACAAUCUUGAAGUAUCCACAGUUUGGCUCUAGCUCCACUCUAGCUCAAAACCAAGAUCGAGUCUUACACGUUAACCAGCUUUGUAUCCUCCAGUGCCAUCUGGUGAGAGACCAUAGAAACCUUCGGAACCUGCAGCUUUGGCUAAGUUGAUGAAGAAGCAAGAGACGAAGAAGGAAAUCAAUUAAAUGAUGAAUCGCAAACUUACUGGCUGUUCCAACAGAUAAUUGUGAAGGUGAUGUGUCAAGCUCUGGUCUGGUAGAGACUAAAGAAAGGGUAUUCUAAGCAAAAAGACGGAGUGGGGAAAGCGAUUGAUAAUUGUAUACUUGAGUCAACAAUAAAAAUUUAUAUAUUCUAUACAUUUGAUUUUGGCACAAAAAAAUUUCAAAAUUUUUUAAGUUUAUAAUUUUUUUUCCGACCAAAAUAUUUGUAAAUAAUAUGAAUAUUUUGGUGAUUUUGAUGACGGGAAAAAUAAAAAUUGAA
Molecule: long non-coding RNA, 2520 nt
Organism: Brassica napus (rape)
Lineage: Eukaryota; Viridiplantae; Streptophyta; Magnoliopsida; Brassicales; Brassicaceae
Exons: 4
Source: RefSeq, a predicted model, not a curated record